RNAcentral lists this long non-coding RNA (298 nucleotides) under Hordeum vulgare. Its description in RNAcentral is "long non-coding RNA (HVUL_LNC010871)". The record is from RNAcentral. Lineage: Eukaryota; Viridiplantae; Streptophyta; Magnoliopsida; Poales; Poaceae.
CGCGACCGAGCGGCGGAGGCGGGGAUGGAGGCGCGCAUCGGACUGGCAGGGAUGAUGAUCGAAGGGGAGGACUACGGUGAGGCAGAGGCCGACAGUACGGUUCGCGGGGUCGCGGUUGGGGAAGAGGAGGCCGUCGGCGGCGGCAAGGCAAACGCACGGCCGCCCCGCCGCAGAGGGGUGAAGGUGAAGCGCGGGGCUACCCUGAGGAGGAAGCCCCGGCUUCCCCGCGACAAGAAGCAGCGGUCACCUUCUCCGGCCCGGAGCUCGGCGCCGGUAGAGGAGGAGUACAUCCACAGGG